GCUGGAGAGAAAGCUGGCUGGAGAGCUUGCCCUUUGUUGGGUAUAGGAAGUAAAGUGGUGAAGAUUGACCUCCUUCAGGAACUUCAGCUCAGAUUGGCUGAGCCACAGAAAAUCAUGAGACAAAAGCCAGAAACAUAUAGACCUAUUUGUGAGAAAAUUAAGAAACUCUUUCCUGAAUGAAGGGUACUUAGCCACUAGAAGCCUCAACCUUAAUAUAACUGACCUGGAAUAAUAAUAGAAACCUCAACUUCAUCAUUUCACGGCCACAAUCUCAACUUCACAGGAUAGCAUCAACUGAAGAAAGAAGAGAAUGCUGGCAGCUCAUGAAGAAUUGAUCUAUGGACACAAAAGGAAAUCAUAAAAGGCAAUGGAGGAACAUGUCAGUGCUUGGAUGGUGCAAUGAACAAUAAAAUGGAAAAAUAAACAGCAUUUUGGAGUCAUAAAUGGCAGGACUUUGUAAGAGCCUGUAUGUACCGCAUGAAGAAGGAUCUAAGGAUAAUUUGCUAUAUUUAUUUGUACAGGUAUGGUGUCACUUAUAGAGAUGGAUAAUUUAGGGACAAGAACAACUCUGCUGAGAGUUGUGCUGAAGACACAUAAAUUUUUGAAGUAAUUUAGUCUGGGGGGAAAAACAUUGAAUAUGGGUAGGAUACAGAAGAAACUUGAAGCAACAAGAAAGUAGUAAAAAGACUUAGAAAUAGAGAAAGAAGAGCUAGUUCAACAGUUAGGACACAGCAUUGACAAACACCAAUAUCUGAAGCUUAAAAGUGAAAGAAGAAACCACCAGGUACACAGAGGCAGAACAACGCUGAAUAUACAUCCAGAUCCACUUGAAUGAUGGCAAUUCUGUGGUUUGGGUUUCUAUUUGUGAAGAACCAAAGUAACAUA
Long non-coding RNA from Grammomys surdaster, 885 nucleotides. RefSeq lists it as uncharacterized. The record is from RefSeq and is a predicted model, not a curated record. The transcript has 3 exons. Lineage: Eukaryota; Metazoa; Chordata; Mammalia; Rodentia; Muridae.